Molecule: ribosomal RNA, 170 nt
Filed under: uncultured bacterium
Lineage: Bacteria
Description: partial 16S ribosomal RNA
Rfam family: Bacterial small subunit ribosomal RNA
Source: RNAcentral
GGCAUUCGCAUGGACGAAGUCUGACGGAGCAACGCCGCGUGAGCGAAGAAGGUCUUCGGAUCGUAAAGCUCUGUUGUCAGGGAAGAACAAGUACGAGAGUAACUGCUCGUACCUUGACGGUACCUGACCAGAAAGCCACGGCUAACUACGUGCCAGCAGCCGCGGUAAUA